This 429-nucleotide ribosomal RNA is filed under the name Verrucomicrobiota bacterium. RNAcentral describes it as "Verrucomicrobia bacterium partial 16S ribosomal RNA". It matches the Rfam family "Bacterial small subunit ribosomal RNA", at positions 355 to 776 of the family's 1533-position model. The record is from RNAcentral. Lineage: Bacteria; Pseudomonadati; Verrucomicrobiota.
UAGGGAAUCUUCGGCAAUGGGGGGAACCCUGACCGAGCAACGCCGCGUGAGUGAAGAAGGUUUUCGGAUCGUAAAGCUCUGUUGUUAAGGAAGAACGAGUGUGAGAAUGGAAAGUUCAUGCUGUGACGGUACUUAACCAGAAAGGGACGGCUAACUACGUGCCAGCAGCCGCGGUAAUACGUAGGUCCCGAGCGUUGUCCGGAUUUAUUGGGCGUAAAGCGAGCGCAGGCGGUUAGAAAAGUCUGAAGUGAAAGGCAGUGGCUCAACCAUUGUAGGCUUUGGAAACUGUUUAACUUGAGUGCAGAAGGGGAGAGUGGAAUUCCAUGUGUAGCGGUGAAAUGCGUAGAUAUAUGGAGGAACACCGGUGGCGAAAGCGGCUUACGGGAGCGCAACUGACGCUAAAGCUCGAAGGUGCGGGUAUCGAACAGG